CUGCAUUCCACCCGACCACCCUGACAGGAGCAAGGGUCGGGGCACGCCAAUGACCUGUGACCUCCGAGUAAGAGAAGACACAGGAGCAGACGUCCUCUGGAGACGAAUUUCCUUCUGGCUGAUUUUCAGAAGAAAAAUGUGGUGAGUGUGACAGCUGGCUCACACUGAUAAACACUGCUGUCAAUACUGCAACAGGAACGUUGGUGCAGAUACACUAUAUUAUAUCCAUGCAUCCUCUGCCAGGCGGGAUGACGAUGCUGUGAGCAGAGGGAGGAAAAAUGUCUGCAGGAGAUAAACAUGAAUCAGCAGAUCAUGUUCCUGCAGAAGCUUCGUCUUCCAGCCCAGCUGAUGUGUGGAAGUGAUGAAGGACACAGUGAUGUGCUCACUGGACUCAAACUCUAAAAAUAAAACAACAAUGAGUCAGAAAAAACAACAGCCUGACAAGAAGAGGAGUUUAUUUAUCACACCUUUGCAAAAUGGGGCACAAAGACUGAGCUCACAGCCUUCAGGGCUGUACAGGUAAUCAGCAGCAGUAAAGUCAACACACACACACACACACACACACACACACACACACAGUCACCUGCACACACUCUGCAGCCUUAGCUCACAUGGAUUUUUCACUACGUUAAGUGAACAACAAUAAGUUUAAAACAGAAGCAAAGACGUGGUAUUGGCUCCUCAUCACUUAUUUCCCAUAAUGCUGUGGUGACAACACAAACACCACGCAGGAGGCAUUAAA
Long non-coding RNA from Poecilia latipinna (sailfin molly), 742 nucleotides. RefSeq lists it as uncharacterized. Lineage: Eukaryota; Metazoa; Chordata; Actinopteri; Cyprinodontiformes; Poeciliidae. The record is from RefSeq and is a predicted model, not a curated record. The transcript is spliced from 3 exons.